Molecule: long non-coding RNA, 2004 nt
Organism: Glycine soja
Lineage: Eukaryota; Viridiplantae; Streptophyta; Magnoliopsida; Fabales; Fabaceae
Exons: 5
Source: RefSeq, a predicted model, not a curated record
CCAUCCUUGCCGCUACAGUACUUUCCGUAAUAUUGGGUUGCUUCUACUCCGCGCAUGUUGAUCCCCAUUGGUGUUUCGUCUUGCCACCACCGCCGGUCAUGCUGUCGCGUCGUCGUCACAAUAGUCGUCGUCGAGAACACGAGGUUUGGGUCGGGCUUUAGGAAGGGUUAUCAGAAGAGCCUUAGGGAGAGAAGUCAGUCGUGAUGCAGAUGAUGCUCCCUGAUCACGUAGGCCCACAACAUCCGCACGUAGGCAACAAAAAGCUGCACCUGUUGCUGAGGAUGUUGAUGAUAUGGAUCAAGUGGAUGAGGAAGUUUAUGAACUGCUUGAAGAAACAGCUGGUGUUGAUGUGCCAAUUGAUGCCAAGGGUUUUCCAGGAGGACCCCAUGACACAUCAGUGUUGCAAGACUAUGUUUAUCAUGUGGCCACGAAAGUUUGGAGUGGAGAGGAACAUCCUGAGCUGAAAUUAUGCUCCCAUGGAAGAAAGGUCAAGAUGUUUGGCAGGCCUACCCCUGAGAUCGAAGGCUUAGUGGCUACCACAAGAUUAAGUCCUCUGAUCACAUGUUCGUUGGACACUGGUGAUCGGGGACUUAUGUCUGCUUUCGUGGAGAGGUGGCAUCUGGAAACUAGUAGUUUUCAUCUGCCAGUUAGAGAGGUGACUAUCACGUUGGAUGAUGUGGCCUCGUUGCUGCAUUUGCCCAUUACAUGCGCGUUCCAUAGUUUUCAGUCUCUUCAUGUGGAUGAUAUCAUCUUGUUGCUAGUGGAAUUGCUUGAACUAAGUGGUGAAAAGGCAUGAGCUGAGACAGUACAAUGCCAUGGGGCAUAUGUUUGACUUUCCUGGUUGUGAGAUGUAUAUCGGAGCAAAUGUGACACAACAUAGUGGACACCUGCAGCUCGUGCAUAUUUGUUGCGCCUUCUUGGUUGCACACUCUUUGCUAACAAGAGUGUGACACACGUUUAUGUCGUAUUCUUGGUCGCAUUGAGGGACCUGACGCAAAGUGUUAGCUACGCAUGGGGAGCUGUUGUACCGGUGCAUAUGUAUGACAAUCUGAAUGAUGCAUCAAAGAGCACGACUAGACAGCUUGCAAGAUACAUCACACUUUUACAGUGUUGGAUCUACGAGCACUUUCCCUCUGUUGGUUGUGUUGUUGCUGCUAAGGAUUAUGAUGAGAGGAAACCACGUGCCUGUUGUUGGAAGUCUGGGAAGGCAUUACUAGUAUCGACAUACUGUAGAUUGUUGGAUAGAUUGACAUCCGAUGCUGUAUCACUGUGCCUUCAGAGAGUUUGAGGUUAUCUCUUUAUUUUUAGGACAUAUCAGAUGAGGUCCAUCUAUUGUCAUACACUGAUUGGAGAGGAUUGUACAACAGUUUGGGUAUAUGCAAACCAUUCCUCCACACCCUGCUACUCUUUCUCUGUGUAUAGAAGACAUUGAUGAUAGAUGGAUUCAAUUUUUUUAAUACAUUGCACCGGUUGGUCAGAUAUGUGUAGCGCCUGGGCAGUGUUCAUUGGACUACAUGGAUUGGUUCUACUCGAUAUCCCAUCCCUUCAUGAGUCCAGCACAGCCUGAGGAUCCUCCUAGAUAGCCCCACGUGCAGCAACAUGACACAUUUGUUGAACCGCAUGUUGCUCAGCAUCCAGUGGCGACAAUGGGUAUGAAUGAAGCAGCUGAAGAUGCACAUGCUAGUGUAGAGCGGCCUCGACAUGCAGUGGAGGCUUGUCAACCAAUAGCCGAAAGGUUGGAGCGGUUGCUCAACCUAAGGAUAAUCAUUGAAGGCACAGAGACAUACGAUGUCAUGGAGGACUACCUGCGGAUCGCUAGAGGUGUCACUGCAGAUGACAAUGUAUAUGUGCGGUUGCGAUGAAGGCGGCACACUAAACAUGCGUGAAAAGUUAUUUUAGUUACCUAGUUUUAUAUAAUUUGUGGUUUUAUAUGAGUAAAGAACGUUAAUUGUUUAAGUUGUAUUUUUAAUUUUUGAUUAAUUACGAAUUAAAUUAUUAUGUUUA